UUGAUCAUGGCUCAGAAUCAACGCUGGCGGCGUGCCUCAGACAUGCAAGUCGAACGAUUAAACUUUCCUUCGGGAAAGAUAUAAAGUGGCGCACGGGUGAGUAACACGUAAGUAAUCUACCUUCGGAUGGGGAAUAACAGUCGGAAACGACUGCUAAUACCGCAUAAUGCAGCGGCACCUAAUGGUGACAGUUGUUAAAGUAUUUAUACGUCUGAAGAGGAGCUUGCGGCAGAUUAGCUAGUUGGUAAGGUAAUGGCUUACCAAGGCGACGAUCUGUAGCCGACCUGAGAGGGUGGUCGGUCACACUGACACUGAAUAACGGGUCAGACUCCUACGGGAGGCAGCAGUCGGGAAUUUUGGGCAAUGGGCGAAAGCCUGACCCAGCAACGCCGCGUGAAGGAUGAAGUCUCUCGGGAUGUAAACUUCGUAAAAAUAGGAAGAAUAAAUGACGGUACUAUUUGUAAGGUCCGGCUAACUACGUGCCAGCAGCCGCGGUAAUACGUAGGGACCAAGCGUUGUUCGGAUUUACUGGGCGUAAAGGGCGCGUAGGCGGCGUGACAAGUCACUUGUGAAAUCUCCGGGCUUAACUCGGAACGGUCAAGUGAUACUGUUGUGCUAGAGUGCAGAAGGGGCAAUCGGAAUUCUUGGUGUAGCGGUGAAAUGCGUAGAUAUCAAGAGGAACACCUGAGGUGAAGACGGG
RNAcentral lists this ribosomal RNA (700 nucleotides) under uncultured bacterium. RNAcentral describes it as "bacterial SSU rRNA". It matches the Rfam family "Bacterial small subunit ribosomal RNA", at positions 13 to 725 of the family's 1533-position model. The record is from RNAcentral.